UACGUAGGGUGCAAGCGUUAAUCGGAAUUACUGGGCGUAAAGCGUGCGCAGGCGGUUAUGUAAGUCAGAUGUGAAAUGCCCGGGCUUAACCUGGGAACUGCAUUUGUGACUGCAUGGCUAGAGUUUGGCAGAGGGGGGUAGAAUUCCACGUGUAGCAGUGAAAUGCGUAGAGAUGUGGAGGAAUACCGAUGGCGAAGGCAGCCCCCUGGGAUAACACUGACGCUCAUGCACGAAAGCGUGGGGAGCAAACAGG
RNAcentral lists this ribosomal RNA (253 nucleotides) under uncultured bacterium. RNAcentral describes it as "partial 16S ribosomal RNA". It matches the Rfam family "Bacterial small subunit ribosomal RNA", at positions 524 to 776 of the family's 1533-position model. The record is from RNAcentral.